RNAcentral lists this ribosomal RNA (669 nucleotides) under Dracaena sp. SZ-2012. Its description in RNAcentral is "eukaryotic LSU rRNA". The stretch from base 211 to 366 matches the Rfam family "5.8S ribosomal RNA". Lineage: Eukaryota; Viridiplantae; Streptophyta; Magnoliopsida; Asparagales; Asparagaceae. The record is from RNAcentral.
ACUCCCGCAGGGACGGAGGGAUGGCGGCAUUCGCCCACCUGACCCCGCCCCCCCGGGGCACCAAUGGCCGCCCCCGUUCGGCCUCUUUGCAGGACGGGCGGCGGGAACAAUACCUGACGCAGUAGGCGCCAAGGAACAUUCUCAGUUGGAGAGCGCCGCAAGGUGGUUUUGGCGUGCGGUGCGAUCCUUCCAUACAAGUCAAACUUUUACGACUCUUGACAAUGGAUAUCAUGGCUCUCGCAUCGAUGAAGAACGUAGCAAAAUGUGAUACUUGGUGUGAAUUGCAGAAUCCUGUGAACCAUCGAGUCUUUGAACGCAAGUUGCACACGAGGCUAUCCGGCCGAGGGCACGCCUGCCUGGGCAUCAUGCCUCGCAUCGCUCCAUGCACCCUGAGCCACCCUUCGAGCAGGGGCGAUGGCGGGUGCGGAUGUGGAGAUUGGCUCCCUAUGCCUUGCAGCGCGGCGGGCCGAAGUGCUGGCCGCUGGCCGGGAACGGAAGCGGCGAGUGGGGGAUGGACACGUACAAUGCCGGACAUUGCCUCCGGCCCCGGCUGCAGCGGUGCAUGCAAGGAACCCACACCGUCGGGUGCGCUCGUACGCACCCCUCGGAACACGACCCUAGAACAGGCGGGGCCACCCACUGAGCUUAAGCAUAUAAAUAAGCGGAGGA